Molecule: long non-coding RNA, 488 nt
Organism: Cynocephalus volans (Philippine flying lemur)
Lineage: Eukaryota; Metazoa; Chordata; Mammalia; Dermoptera; Cynocephalidae
Exons: 3
Source: RefSeq, a predicted model, not a curated record
CCAAAACCAGUGUUUUAGUAAUUCCUUCCUCUCUCUGAAAUAGGGAGGAAAUUCCUUGUGGGUUGCUCUCAAGGGAAGGAAAGGCAGAGCCAAACAGUGAAUACUGGAUACACUGGGCACUGAGAAUUUCUCUUUUACUCACACGUUACCGGACCAUGAAGAGGCCUACCCGGACCUGAAGGAGACGGCUCUGCACUACUCGAACAGCCCGGACUAACAAUUUCCAGGACAGACAGUCUGUCCUAGACUAAGCCAAUCUGCAUAUUCCAUCCUUUAUGCCACAAGGGAAAGUGCACGGGUGAACUGGUCUGAGAAUCCUGGGACUUCUGCUGAGCCUGCAGACAGUCACUCUUUCAGACUGAACAUGAAUAAGGAAACAACCCCAGAAGCUGCAGGCAGCCAUGCUGGGACCAGAAGGGCAACCAGAAGCCAGAUGCCCAGAGACAUCAAUGAACCACGCCAACACCCUCAAUCUGAAGCCUGAAUUA